UUCUCUCUACAAUGAGAGCUUCUCUCUCUAGCUUUUAGAGUUUCCCUCCUCUCGGUAGGAGCCUUAUGCUUUUCAAGAUCCAAAUUUCAAAACCCAAAUUUUAAAAUCCAACACAUUUCAAAAAUCCUAGAUCCAACAUCAGAUCACACUCAAACAGAUCUCAAAACUCAAGAUCCCAAAUUCUACGAGAGUUCCCACACCCAGCUCUACCCAUCUCAUACAAACACCCACAUUUAAGCCCCCUUUUCACUCAAUUUUUAACAAGACCAGAAAACCAAAAAUUGCUUUCUAGAACCAUUUAAUUCUCGACUAUCCUCGCACCAAAUGAGGAAAUCAGACCAAGAUCUUAUUCACAAUAUAAGUGGCAGCAAACUCAUGGAGCAUUAAUUAUUCCCAAUCUUGACCCAUUAGACAAACAUCUCACUAUUUUCUACUCUUGUUAGGUCCUAAGCAUCUUUAACACACUGAGAUUUUUUUUUUUUGCAGGUUUAAUUGAAUCUGGCAUUCGAAUCCAAGUAAUAGUAAGAGGCAUGCUUCUGUCUACGAAAAUGGAAGAUCCUUUGGCAAAUGCUUUCCAGAAAUUCGACUUGUCAACAACAGAAUUAGGAGGGAUAGAUCUAAGCAACGAAGAUGUGGAACAAAGUGUAGAAAGCUACAAAUGAAGCUUGGUGGAGAAGCUGAUAGGGCACAAAGAUAGGGCAAUCAAGGGAAGGAAGUCAUUCAGGAGAACACAAAGGAUGACCAAAUCCCCACUAAAAGAUGUCUCGAACAAGAUGAUGGAUGGGCAGUUGGGAGGAAAGAGGACGAAUAUAUUAGAAUUGCAGGAAGUAGAUGCAAUGGAAGAGGAUGAGAUUGAAGCAUCACGAAGGAAGAACAUCAAGAUGUAAGUGAAUAUACCAAUAACUCAAGGGGAAUUGGAGGCUAGCCCCAGAAUGCCUCCAUUGUGUAAAUGAAGAUAGUGGUGUGGAACUGUCGAGGUGUGGGUGGCCCCUUGGCAGUUCCCCAACUGAAAAAGGUUCUGCUCCUGCACUCUCCAAGCAUGGUGUUUUUGUGCAAGACCAAAAAUCAGGAAAAGUAUAUGAAGGAAAUCCAGAGAAAGAUCAAGUGUGAUAAGAGCUACAUAGUCAAUCCUAAAGGUAAAGCAGGUGGUUUAGCUCUUUUUUGAAAAGUUGAGCUGAAUAUUGUGGACAUCAAUGUCACCAACUUUUGUAUAGAAGCGUGUAUAGAGGAUCAGGAACUCAAAUGCCAAUGGUGGCUAAUAAGGAUAUAUGCCAGCACGGAAGACCAAACAAGAAGAGAACAAUGGAAGUACAUUGAACAGAGGAAGAGAAUAUGGGGAGAUAGGUGGAUAGUUACUAGGGAUUUCAAUGACAUAAGGUCCAAUGAAGAAAAAUGAGGGGUAUGGGAGUUUUAAAGAUUUCAACAACUUCAUAAAGGAAAAUGUGUUAGUGGAUAUCGGGUAUGAAGGAGUUUCAUGGAAUUAGAGCAACUUGUGGGAAGGGGAUGGAGAGUUCAAACAAAGGUUAGAUAGGUGUUUGGGAAGUGUAGGCUGGGUGCAACUGUUUGACAUAUCAACAUGCACUCAUAUUGAGAAAGAAGCCUCAAACCAUUGCAUUCUUGUGUUAGAUACUUACCCAACCAACAGAAAAUACAAUAGAAGAUUCUUUUUUUAUCAGAGAUGGACUAGGAAUCCAAAGUCAAAAGAAGUGAUCCAAAUGGCAUGGGAUAAAGAACAAAGAGGGUCAAGGAUGUUCAAAGUGGCAAGAAAAAUCAAAGAAUGCAUAUUUGGUCUAUUGGAGCGGAACAAAAAGAUCAGAGGCAAUUCGCGAGUAAGAAUAAAUGAAAUCAAGAAUCAGCUGGAAAAUGCAAAAGCUAGAAAGGAUCCAAACAAGAAAAGCCUGAUGACCAAUUUGAAAAUGCAGUUGAGCAAGGCAUACAAAGAGGAAGAGUUAUAUUGGAGCCAAAAAUCAAGAAACAGAUGGCUAAAAGAAGGAGAUAAAAACACAGCUUUCUUCCACCUUAGUGUGAUGGCAAAGAGAAAAAGGAACAGGAUCAGCUUACUCCAGAAGUCAAAUGGUGAAUGGUGUAUGAAUGUCUAGGACAUCCAAAGGGAACUUUGCAACCACUAUAGAGAACUUUUCACCACAGGGGAGUCCAAAGAUAUGGAGCGGAUCUUAGAAGCAAUGCCCCAUACUAUUACCAAGCAGAUGAAUGAAAGACUAAUUAAGCUAGUUGAAGAAAAAGAAAUCAAAGUAGCCAUUUUUUCUAUGCACCCGAACAAAGAACCAGGGUUGAGUGGACUUUUCUGGGGAGAUUGAUGAUGAAAAUGGGUUUCUGCCCAAUAUUUAUGAAUUGGAUCAUGGCUUGUAUUUCCACUAUUCCAUACUCCCUUAAUCUAAAUGGUGAGAAAGUAUGAAAGGUUAAGCCUAGCAGGGGUAUUAGACAAGGUGACCUUUGUCACCCUAUCUUUUUGUUAUAUGUGUUGAAGGACUUUCUUGCCCAAUUAAGAAGGCUGUGGAUCAAAAGAUACUAACCGGCAUGAAAAUUUGCAAAGAUUCCCCUAUGGCCUCGUAUUUGUUUUUUGCGGAUGACUCAAUAUUAUGCUGUAAAGUCGAUGAAUAGGAGGCUGUGAAAAGUGAUGGAUAUCUUAGUACGAUAUGGCAGAGCUUCAGGACAGAUGGUAAAUUUUGACAAAUUUGUAGUCUACUUCAGCAGAAACACACCACAGAGGACCAAAAGGAGAGUAUGCAGAGCAAUGGACAAUAUGAAGCAAGCAACCAGUGGCAAAUACCUUGGACUACCUAUGACCAUAGGUGGAACCAAGAAUCUGGUUUUUGGCAAUAUAAAGUGCAAGGUUAACAGCAAGCUGCACAGGUGGAAACAAAAAUUACUGAGUCAAGAGGGCAAAGAAGUACUUGUUAAAGCUGUCAUCAUGGCCAUGCCCUCGUAUGCAAUGUCUUGCUUUAGACUCCCUAAAGGUCUAUGCAAGGAUAUCAGCAGGAGAGUUGCCAACUUUUGGUGGGAAAGUAAGGAUAACAGAACGAAAGCGCAUUGGGCCAGCUAGAAGAAGUUAUCAAAAGUUAAAGGGAACGGUGGCAUAGGCAUUCAAGAUUUGGAAUCCUUUAACUCGGCCCUGCUUGCUAGGCAAAUUUGGAGAAUUUUAACUGCUCCAAAUUUGUUAGCAAGCAAGGUAGUAAAGGUAAAAAUAUAUGAAAAAAGAUGGUUGGAUAGACAAUGACCCUCCACAGUCAGCAUAAUGGGCUUGGAAAAGCAUUCAUAGUGCAAGGCAAAUUCUUCUGAAAUGCUUGUGGAAAAGAGUGAGGGAUGGGAGUAGUAUUGAUAUAUGGAGCGACAAGUGGAUAACAGGGAGGCCAAAUGGAAGAGUAACCACAAGAAAACCAGAAAAUUGUGAAUUGGAAAAAGUAAGUGAUCUCAUAGAUAAUGGGAAAUGGAACACAAAAGUGCUACAGCAAUGGUUCAACACCUCAGAUGUAGAACUGAUAGCAAGCAUCCCCAUCAGCUGCUUUAAAAGGAAGGAUAGAUUUUUCUGGAAACACUCUGCAUCAGGAAACUAUACUGUUAAAUCUGGUUACAUGCUGGCCAGAGAGGAAAUCAAACAACAAGAUCCGAAAGAAGCUGAAAGAGUAGAAACAAGUUGGGAAAGAAGCAAACAAAUAUGUGGAAAAAGAUGUGGGGUCUCAAUAUCAAACUCAAACACAAACAUUUCAUGUGGAAGUGUCCCGUCAAAGAGCUUAUAUACGCGCAAACAGGAGAAGGAGACAACAACAUUUGUAAUGGUUGUGGUGAAGAUAUCGAAACCCUAGAACACAUGUUUUUCUAUUGUCCUGAAGUGCAGAAGGUAUGGAAAAUUGCCUCCUAUCAGAUGGGAUGGUUUGGAAAAUCUACAGCACAACAUCUGGAAAUGGUGGCAAGCAGUUAUGAGGACGGGAACAAAGAAACAAGGUACGGACCACAUAAAUCUCACUGUAACCAUAUAGUGGUACUGUGGAAAGCAAGAAACAAAAAGAUCUUUGAAGAGGAAACAAGAGAUGCUCUAAGGACUGUGCAAAAAGACGCAAAAGGAAUGGAUGGAAUUUGACAAAGCAAUGUAGAAGCAGAAGAAACAAGUAGUAGCACUCACACAAUUCAGCAACACCAAAGGAAGUGGAAGCCACCUAAGGAAGGCAUCAUUAUAAUCAACACAAAUGCUGCUAUCUCAACUAAGAUGAUUAGAACUGGCAAAAAUAUCAUAGCAAGGAACUCGACAGGGAAAAUUCUUGGAGCAAUGGGGCUGGUAGAACACAAAAGGGGAGAAGCAAGCACUGAAGAAGCUCUAGCUGUAAAAGUAGCAUUAAUGAUGGCAAAAAAUGUAGGUUGGACUAAAAUAGACGUCCAGACAGACUGCAAUGGAGUGAUAGAUUAGAUAGAGGCAAAUGAAAUGCCAAAGGGAAAUCUAGCAACUAUCUUGGUAGACAUUGUAGAGUUAAGGAAAGACUUUGAACUGUGUAGUUUUUCUUUUGUCCAUCAAACCGGAAAUCAAUGUAGUUAUAUGCUAGCUCAACAUGCAGUAAAGCUAGUUAAUGACUUAAAUUGGGAAAAUCAUUUCCCAGUGUGGCUAACCGACUUAGCUCGAAAUUAUUUGAGUGCAGUUGCCCUUUUUUGUAA
Non-coding RNA from Coffea arabica (coffee), 4665 nucleotides. NCBI's taxonomy places the organism in Eukaryota, Viridiplantae, Streptophyta, Magnoliopsida, Gentianales, Rubiaceae. The record is from RefSeq and is a predicted model, not a curated record.